AUUGAACGCUGGCGGCAGGCCUAACACAUGCAAGUCGAGCGGAUGAAGGGAGCUUGCUCCUGGAUUCAGCGGCGGACGGGUGAGUAAUGCCUAGGAAUCUGCCUGGUAGUGGGAGAUAACGUCCGGAAACGGGCGCUAAUACCGCAUACGUCCUGAGGGAGAAAGGGGGGGAUAUUCGGACCUCACGCUAUCAGAUGAGCCUAGGUCGGAUUAGCUAGUGGGUGGGGUAACGGCCUACCAAGGCGACGAUCCGUAACUGGUCUGAGAGGAUGAUCAGUCACAUUGGAACUGAGAAACGGUCGAGACUCCUACGGGAGGCAGCAGUGGAGAAUAUUGGACAAUGGGCGAAAGCCUGAUCCAGCCAUGCCGCGGGUAUGAAGAAGGUCUUCGGAUUGGAAAGCACUUUAAGUUGGGAGGAAGGGCAGUAAGUUAAUACCUUGCUGUUUUGACGUUACCAACAGAAUAAGCACCGGCUAACUUCGUG
Molecule: ribosomal RNA, 484 nt
Filed under: uncultured bacterium
Lineage: Bacteria
Description: partial 16S ribosomal RNA
Rfam family: Bacterial small subunit ribosomal RNA
Source: RNAcentral